GCCCAGGUGGUGGAAUUGGUAGACACGCCGGCCUUAGGAGCCGGUGCCGCGAGGCGUGAGAGUUCGAGUCUCUCCUUGGGCACCA
This 85-nucleotide transfer RNA is filed under the name Patescibacteria group bacterium. RNAcentral's name for it is "tRNA-Leu". It matches the Rfam family "tRNA". Rfam says of the family: Transfer RNA (tRNA) molecules are approximately 80 nucleotides in length. Their secondary structure includes four short double-helical elements and three loops (D, anti-codon, and T loops). Further hydrogen bonds mediate the characteristic L-shaped molecular structure. tRNAs have two regions of fundamental functional importance: the anti-codon, which is responsible for specific mRNA codon recognition, and the 3' end, to which the tRNAs corresponding amino acid is attached (by aminoacyl-tRNA synthetases). tRNAs cope with the degeneracy of the genetic code in two manners: having more than one tRNA (with a specific anti-codon) for a particular amino acid; and 'wobble' base-pairing, i.e. permitting non-standard base-pairing at the 3rd anti-codon position. The record is from RNAcentral.